Molecule: non-coding RNA, 4852 nt
Organism: Doryrhamphus excisus (bluestripe pipefish)
Lineage: Eukaryota; Metazoa; Chordata; Actinopteri; Syngnathiformes; Syngnathidae
Source: RefSeq, a predicted model, not a curated record
CAAGUGGAAAAAAAAACGGAAUUUAACGGACUGGUUCGUUUAACUCCGGUAACUUCUCCGCAGCGCCCGCAAGCCCAACUCGGAUGCCUGUUGGCUUCUUUUCAAUGAGUAAUUCUUCAAGACUUUUCAUAUCCCACCCGAUUUCACCAAGCCUCCACACCAUUGGUUGCUUCACUCCCAGUAGCUGCAUUUCAUUGGCUGGCGGCACUGUCAAUCUUUGGUGUAAAUGGCGCUCAGUUUCAGCGCGCGAAAGAACAUUCUCGUGGGCGCAGCUCACUUCCGACAAUUCAUCGCGAGAUUAUGAAGUGCCCCUAAAUCACGUGCCCUGACAGAUGGUUGCCUAGCUAAACAUGUUGGGGUCGUACCGCGGUACUUUAUCUUUUCAUCAAAGCUUUACUCGACGUUUACUGAACGGUAUAUUACAUGUCAAAGAGAUCAGCCAUAUGGCGUCUGUGAUGGGGUGGGGCCAGCAGGACAGAGCUGCCUCGGGGGAACGGAGCAGCACUCCGAGCUCAGGGAGGACGACAGGAAGUGGACACGACAGGCCAAGUCGUCCAGGAAGUCUUUUUGUAUCUUGGUUAUUGCUUGAGAGAGCACAUCGGGCAGGGAGCGCAUGUUGACAAGCAUGAAGUCCAGUUUGUCCUCCAGGGCCACAAUCCUCCUGUCCAGAUCCUCGCUCCGAUGCUGCAGAUCCGAGACCAGAUCGUACAUCAUGUUCUGAGUCUGCAGAGCAACAUGCAGAGAGACGUGUGACUUCACACUUUGCUGGGCAAGGAACCGCACUGGAGAACUUAAGAGCAUCCAUUCAGGCAAACCCCCUUUCCACAAUACGUGUGAGGCACCAUGUCGCCGUAGCCGAUGGACAGGAAGGUGAUGGAGAUCAGCCACAUGGCUCCUAGAAAGGUGCUGCUCACCUCCUGUGCGUCGUGAUACCUUUCGGAAGACAACAGCACCUCGUCAGUCGUGUCCAAUUCCCGGAAAUGAAUCCAUUCCGAUGCGUGUGGCGCCGAUACCUCUCGCAUAUGCGCACGGUCCACGCCGCGAUGAUCCAACAGGACACACUGAAGACCAGCAGCACCGUGCCGGGGCAGAUGGUCAUCAGGGUCUUCAUGACAAAACGGGUGUCGAAACUAAUCUUGUUGAGCGCUCCGAUGCUACGAGACGAAGCGUCGGUGAAGAGCUUGCUGUGGAGCAGCAUGACCCGGCCAAUCAGGUAGAGGCGUAGGAACAUGGGCACCGACAGGAUGAUGUCCACGUCGGCGUCCGCUACCGAUGUGGUGUAGCUGAAGGCCAGCCGAGCGGUCCAGCUGAACACGUACUGGCCCGGGAUGGGAUGGAUGGCGCACACCAGGAGCUCCAACGCGACAAAGAGGACUCGCUCAAAGGUCACGGCGAUCCUCCAGUCAUCCGCACCGUUGUCCACCAUGAACAGCUGAGGAAUCAAACACUUUCAAUCGUUUUGUGCUUUGCUCGACGCUCAAAUCUGAUUUCCUCUUUUGUUUGCUAACUUUCCCGAACUUAGUAGUAUUUCUAGUUUCUAACUAACCAAGAUUAAUCAUGAUUAAUAAUACGCACAAGAAAAGAGCAGACCUUUUGGUCUAACUGAAAUGAGUGUUAGUAUUUCUAGUGUCUAACUUCGUUUGAUGUGGCAGUCUGCUCCAUGUAAAUCAGAUUAAUCACGGUUUUGAAAUGAUUCAAUCAUGAUUAAUCACGAUUAAUUCCUGCUUUCCUCAUAUAAUUUAAGUUUGUAUUUAAAAAAAAAACAUGAUUAAUCACAAUUAAUCCUGAUAAUAACACACACAAGAAAAGAGCGGACCGUUUAGUCUAACUGAAAUGGGUGUUAGUAUUUCUAGUUUCUAGCUUCGUUUUUUGUAGCUAUCUGCUCCAUGUAAAUCAGAUUAACGGUUACGGUUAUUUAACCGGUUAUAUUACGGUUUUCAAAUUAUUCAAUCACAAUUAAUCAAGAUUAAUAAUAGCUAUCUGAAAUGGGUGUUAGUAUUUCUAGUUUUUAACUUCGUUUGAUGUGGCAGUCUGCGCCAUGUAAAUCAGAUUAAUCACAGCUUUCAAAUAUUCAAUCAUGAUUAAUCACGAUUAAUCCCUGCUUUCAUAAGAUAGACCUUUUUAUUAAUUUUUUCCCUUUUAAAAAUUAAUCAUGAUUAAUUGUGAUUAAUAAUACGCAAGGAGCGGACCUUUUAGUCUAACUGAAAUGGGUGUUAAUAUUUCUAGUUUCUAACUUCGUUUUUUGUAGCUAUCUGCUCCAUGUAAAUCAGAUUAAUCACGGUUUACAAAUGAUUCAAUCAUGAUUAAUCACGAUUAAUUCCUACUUUCAUAAGAUAGUUUAAGUUUUUAUUAUUUUUGUAAAAAUCAUGAUUAAUCAUGUUUAAUUGCGAUUAAUACACACACACAAAGAGCGGACCUUUUAGUCUAACUGAAAUGGGUGUUAAUAUUUCUAGUUUCUAACUUUGUGUUUUUGUAGCUAUCUGCUCCAUGUAAAUCAGAUUAAUCACGGUCUUCAAAUGAUUCAAUCAUGAUUAAUCACCAUGUUGCACAAUAUUUUAAAUAUGCACAUUUGACUUUAAUGGCUAGAAAAGAUGGUGUUUUUAGGUGGCCGUACACAAAAUAUUGAUGAAAACUUUAUGGUAAGAUGACUUACUCGUGUUUAGUCAACAGAUGGUUUGUCCCAGCAGUUACCUGUAUUUCCCUGGCAUGGUACAUCCCAAUGAGAGCCAGUAGAACAGCAGUAGAAACACUAAUGAGGCCUUUGAGCACAUAAGAAUACAUGGAGUCCUGGAAAAAAAAGAGGAUCCAAGCAUGAAUGAGUGAAGAACUCCAAAAUACUCCACAGACGACCGAAAUACCUUGCUGUAAAAUCCUCUGGACAUCUCCGUCUCGAUCACCAUGACGACGAUGCCGAACAUCCCGCACACUAAGGCGUAGUCGCUCAGCUGUUUACGUUUGCCAAAAAGCGCUCUGCGUUGACCCAGCCUGUAGCUGAUGUCCUUCUUCUGCGGUACGUUACCUUCCUCCCUGGCGGCGGCGGCGGCGGCGUCGCUAUCGACCUUGCUCGAAUCCUCCCUGAUGACCUUGGAGAAGGCGUCCUCCAGGAGGGCGCUGUGAAGAAGCGGUGAGGCGUCACGGCCGGCCGCCGAUUUCACAGCAUCGCCGUUGCAGAGGACGUCGCUUCCCGCGACUUCGUAGGGCGUGAUGCGCUGGGAGUGUUGGAAAAAACAUUUGAUGAAAUUAAUAUCAGUUUUUUUUUUUAUGAUUUAAAAAGGAUGAGGUCACCGAUUGAAACUUCCUGUACUUGACUUUGUCGUGAUCUCGCCGCCUCUUCGGCGAAGCCGUGGCGGUCGAGUGAACUACAGCGACUGGCGGAGAACGACUGGAGAGCCGGCGUGGACGACCUCUUGACGGUCCCGGUCCCGGUCGGAUGGUUGGAUGAUAGAUGGCGGCACUUGAAGAUGAAGGCGGGGUCUCCGUGCGAAUAACGCGCGUGAUGGGUAACGUCGGGACGUUGGUUGGCGGACAUGUUGGGGAUGUUGAACAAGUUGGAUCGGGAGUCCUUGAACGCCUCUUGAGGCAUCAAACUACCUUGCGAUCGCUUUUGUGCGACUUUUGAGACAUCUUGAUUUGUUUCGUGUGGAAAAACUUGACAUGAAAGGUUUUUUUUGUGCGAACGACAAGUGUGAUUGGACCGCGGUUCAAAGAUGGACGCCAUGGAGUCGGGACAGGAACACGCACACGCGUCAUUGUGGUUCGGACCGGACGAAUCGCCUCCUUCGUCGCUAACCUGGCCACGUAACAGCAGCCGGUCUUGAUUACUCAACUGUGAUAGGCUCAUGCUUUCCGUCUGCAGCUGUGACAUCAUCGCAUCGCAAACCUCCGAGGACGGAAUGACGCCAUUGGACGUUUCGUGCGGUGCGCGACUUGCCUCCUGCGUUGGUGACGUCGCGUCCGUGAGGCUUCCCGAGUAUGGUCCGUGCAUCCCGUCCGGACUCUUGGUCGGGGGUGUCGGACCACUCGAAGAGCAGAGCUCAUGGUCGCCAUCGCGGAACACCUGACCCGUGCUGUCCAGGCGGCGGGUGGCGUUGGUGGGUUUCACCAAAAUCAACCUCAUGGCAUCCCUGCACAGCCCAAACACAAAAAGACUUAUUUUUUUGUUUACUACUUUUAACCAGGGGUCUCAAACAUGCGGCCCGUGGGCCAAAUGUGGCACGCAGGACACCAAUUUGAGGCCCCCGCCUUGAUAUGAAAGUUUAAUGUUUGAUAUGGAUGCUGUAUGGUAUCAUGUACCCAGAAAAAAUUAUUACGUUUGAUUCAUGUUCAUGUUAAAGGUUAAAUAACUGUUAAUAGUUAUCCUCCCUAUCCAUGUGGAAGUGGUAAGUUUUUGGCUAUUUAAGUUGAAAGGAAAUAACUUGAAGGCUACCGUUUAGGUCGCUAGUUCUCUAGUUUGCGAGUUAGCAUGUGUCUAAAAAAAACAUACAUAAGUCGCUCCGGAGUAUAAGUCGUACAAGGCCAAAAAUGCAUAAUUAGGUAUGCUUAUUCAGCUACACAAAAAAUAAACAUGAACAGAAAAGGUGUCCAGUGUUUAUGGAACAUAAACACUUUUUUCAUGUAUAAGUCGCUCUGGAGUAUAAGUCUCAGGAACAGCCAACCUAUGAAAAAAAAGUGUGACUUAUAGUCGGGAAAAUACGGUAUUUAAGAAAAAAAUAUGAAAUUUUUGUAAAAUAAACAAUUUUUUUUAAUGAAUAAAUGUACAAUGAAUAAAUGUAAAUAAGUAAGUAAAUAAAUAAAUGUACAAUAAAUACAUGUAAAUAAGUAAGUAAAUAAAUAUGUAGGUAAAUAAAUAAAU